Molecule: transfer RNA, 84 nt
Filed under: Felis catus (domestic cat)
Lineage: Eukaryota; Metazoa; Chordata; Mammalia; Carnivora; Felidae
Also listed under: 3 other names
Rfam family: tRNA
About the family: Transfer RNA (tRNA) molecules are approximately 80 nucleotides in length. Their secondary structure includes four short double-helical elements and three loops (D, anti-codon, and T loops).
Source: Rfam by way of RNAcentral
ACCUGAGUGGCUCAGUCACUAAGCGUCUGACUUUGGCUCAGGUUAUGAUCCCAUGGUUUGUGAGUUUGAGCCCCACUUCAGGUG